Molecule: long non-coding RNA, 411 nt
Filed under: Calidris pugnax (ruff)
Lineage: Eukaryota; Metazoa; Chordata; Aves; Charadriiformes; Scolopacidae
Description: lncRNA (ENSCPUG00000015396.1)
Source: RNAcentral
AAGAAAUCCCUGCAGGGCUUUUGCCAGGAGAUAAGAGCCAAGAACUCCUUCUCAUGGCUGAACAGAAAGGAGCAGCAUAAAGGUUACACCGCUUCAGUGGAGGGAGAAGACCAUAUACUCUUUAGAGGGAGCCCCCCAGCCUUUUAAAGAAGUCAGAUUCAGCGGGAUUUCCCCAGAAGCCCAGACCCUGUUCCCUGCUGCUCCUCGCUGCCUUAUUAUUACUUGACAGCUUGUCUCCCUGGGGGGACUGAGAAUAUUUUGCCAACAGCCAACCCAACCAUCAUCUUCAGACAAAAGUAAGUGGGUUCCUUUCUGCAUGCACAAUGAAUCCAGAUCCUUGGGAUUUCUCAGAAGCAACAGUGGAUCGGAGCAUGACAGGGAAGUGAAAUAUGCCCACUGCAUCCAGACGGG